UUCGUCACGCUAAUACACCCAUAAAAUAAUAUAAUUCAGUGAGUUAGUGGUUACACUACUCACGCUAUGUGUUAGGUAAAUCGCCUUUUUCCCAUUGCCAGUAACACGUUUAGAGCAGAUCCCUACACCUCUAUUGAGGUUAUUUAGCCAUAAGCCUUCAUGAGCCUUUCUUUCUGCAGUCUUCGUUCCGAACUGUUCUCAGAUCUUUCCAUGCCGGAGAGUGAAAUCUUUCCCAGUAUAAAGGUAACUUAGUAGGAACGACUCGCAUCUUAUGGCUUUUUCCGAUACUCACACUCCUACCUUGUACACCAGGACUACAUCAUAGGGAUGUAGGUCGACACUCAGACAGCCAAUAUCUGAGGCACGGAAAAAAAAAUUUAGACCUAACAUAGUAAGGAUUGGUACGUCCAGGGUUAACCUUCGUCUCUUAUCAGCUUGUGUUCCUUUCCAUGUAGGAAAAACCAUGCCUCCGAAGAAGCGUAACCCAUCUGCUGGCAAGAAACCGACUCUCCUAUUUGAUGAANUUCCUUUCCGUGUAGGAAAAACCAUGCCUCCGAAGAAGCGUAACCCAUCCACUGGCAAGAAACCGAAUCUCCUACUCGAUGAAGCUACAUUCCAAGCUGUAGUUUCGGCAGCCAUAACAGCUGUCAUGGCUCAACUGAGUGCUAACAAUGCCAACGUUAGCAUGAGCCCUAUCGGAAAUUCCGAUCCUAGUAGUGGACAGCAACAACCAACCUGUGCAUACCCAGUCACCCAAG
This 758-nucleotide long non-coding RNA is filed under the name Lactuca sativa (garden lettuce). RNAcentral describes it as "long non-coding RNA (LSAT_LNC002440)". Lineage: Eukaryota; Viridiplantae; Streptophyta; Magnoliopsida; Asterales; Asteraceae. The record is from RNAcentral.